ACAGAGGGGGCAAGCGUUGUUCGGAAUUACUGGGCGUAAAGGGCGCGUAGGCGGCCCUCUAAGUCGAACGUGAAAUCCCUGGGCUCAACCCAGGAACUGCGUCCGAGACUGGAGGGCUAGAAUCCGGGAGAGGGAUGUGGAAUUCCAGGUGUAGCGGUGAAAUGCGUAGAUAUCUGGAGGAACAUCGGUGGCGAAGGCGGCAUCCUGGACCGGUAUUGACGCUGAGGCGCGAAAGCCAGGGGAGCAAACGGGA
This 253-nucleotide ribosomal RNA is filed under the name uncultured prokaryote. RNAcentral describes it as "partial 16S ribosomal RNA". It matches the Rfam family "Bacterial small subunit ribosomal RNA", at positions 525 to 777 of the family's 1533-position model. The record is from RNAcentral.